This 484-nucleotide ribosomal RNA is filed under the name uncultured bacterium. Its description in RNAcentral is "partial 16S ribosomal RNA". It matches the Rfam family "Bacterial small subunit ribosomal RNA", at positions 30 to 507 of the family's 1533-position model. The record is from RNAcentral.
AUUGAACGCUGGCGGCAGGCCUAACACAUGCAAGUCGAGCGGAUGAAGGGAGCUUGCUCCUGGAUUCAGCGGCGGACGGGUGAGUAAUGCCUAGGAAUCUGCCUGGUAGUGGGGGAUAGCGUCCGGAAACGGGCGCUAAUACCGCAUACGUCCUGAGGGAGAAAGUGGGGGAUCUUCGGACCUCACGCUAUCAGAUGAGCCUAGGUCGGAUUAGCUAGUUGGUGGGGUAAAGGCCUACCAAGGCGACGAUCCGUAACUGGUCUGAGAGGAUGAUCAGUCACACUGGAACUGAGACACGGUCCAGACUCCUACGGGAGGCAGCAGUGGGGAAUACUGGACAAUGGGCGAAAGCCUGAUCCAGCCAUGCCGCGUGUGUGAAGAAGGUCUUCGGAUUGUAAAGCACUUUAAGUUGGGAGGAAGGGCAGUAAGUUAAUACCUUGCUGUUUUGACGUUACCAACAGAAUAAGCACCGGCUAACUUCGUG